Molecule: small nucleolar RNA, 118 nt
Organism: Sorghum bicolor (sorghum)
Lineage: Eukaryota; Viridiplantae; Streptophyta; Magnoliopsida; Poales; Poaceae
Rfam family: Small nucleolar RNA snoR104
Source: Rfam
AGGUAGCAUUCAAAAGAAAAGAUGCCCACCUGAUACAAUCUUCCUAAAGUGAACUUGUCAUUUCCUGCUUGUGGUUUUGUAAGUGAGAUCUGCAAGUCUCAUAUGACAAGACAGCCAU